RNAcentral lists this ribosomal RNA (291 nucleotides) under uncultured eukaryote. Its description in RNAcentral is "partial 18S ribosomal RNA". It matches the Rfam family "Eukaryotic small subunit ribosomal RNA", at positions 618 to 925 of the family's 1831-position model. The record is from RNAcentral.
GUUAAAAAGCUCGUAGUUGAACUUCUAAGGAUUGAAGUCGCCUUAUGGCUUGUAUUGAUAUCCUUAUCCGCUUUGGUUUAGCAAUACGCACUUUGUUGGGCGAUUGUGUAACCAGGCAAUUUACUUUGAAAAAAUUAGAGUGUUUCAAGCAGGCGAUUUGCUGGAAUACAUUAGCAUGGAAUAAUAGAACACGACCUCUUAGGCAUUUUAUUGGUAUAUGACUGGAGGUAAUGAUUAACAGGGACAGUUGGGGGCAUUAGUAUUGCAUUGUCAGAGGUGAAAUUCAUUGAU